Molecule: ribosomal RNA, 523 nt
Filed under: uncultured bacterium
Lineage: Bacteria
Description: bacterial SSU rRNA
Rfam family: Bacterial small subunit ribosomal RNA
Source: RNAcentral
UGGGGAAUAUUGGACAAUGGGCGCAAGCCUGAUCCAGCCAUGCUGCGUGAGUGAUGACGGCCUUAGGGUUGUAAAGCUCUUUCGCUCGGGACGAUAAUGACGGUACCGAGAUAAGAAGCCCCGGCUAACUUCGUGCCAGCAGCCGCGGUAAUACGAAGGGGGCUAGCGUUGUUCGGAAUUACUGGGCGUAAAGCGCGUGUAGGCGGGUCUUUAAGUCAGAGGUGAAAUGCCAAGGCUCAACCUUGGAACUGCCUUUGAUACUGGAGAUCUUGAGUCCGGGAGAGGUGAGUGGAAUUGCGAGUGUAGAGGUGAAAUUCGUAGAUAUUCGCAAGAACACCAGUGGCGAAGGCGGCUCACUGGCCCGGAACUGACGCUGAGACGCGAAAGCGUGGGGAGCAAACAGGAUUAGAUACCCUGGUAGUCCACGCCGUAAACGAUGGAUGCUAGCCGUUGGGGAGCUUGCUCUUCAGUGGCGCAGCUAACGCUUUAAGCAUCCCGCCUGGGGAGUACGGUCGCAAGAUUA